UCUCUGACCUGGCAGGGGAGAUACCAUGAUGCAAAGGUGGUUUUCCCAAGGUAAGACAUAUCCAUUGCACUCCAGAUGUGCUGAUCCAUGAUUUCCCCAAAUGUGGAAAACUCGAUUGCCUAAUUUGUGGCAGGGGGGACUGUGUUAAAGCUUUCCUCUG
This is a small nuclear RNA of Saimiri boliviensis boliviensis (Bolivian squirrel monkey), 160 nucleotides long. Its record names the gene U1. It matches the Rfam family "U1 spliceosomal RNA". From Rfam's summary of the family: U1 is a small nuclear RNA (snRNA) component of the spliceosome (involved in pre-mRNA splicing). Its 5' end forms complementary base pairs with the 5' splice junction, thus defining the 5' donor site of an intron. There are significant differences in sequence and secondary structure between metazoan and yeast U1 snRNAs, the latter being much longer (568 nucleotides as compared to 164 nucleotides in human). Lineage: Eukaryota; Metazoa; Chordata; Mammalia; Primates; Cebidae. The record is from Ensembl.